UUAGAUACCCGCGUAGUCCCAGCCGUAAACUAUGCGCGUUAGGUGUAUCGGUGACCACGAGUUACCGAGGUGCCGAAGGGAAACCGUGAAACGUGCCGCCUGGGAAGUACGGUCGCAAGGCUGAACUUAAAGGAAUUGGCGGGGAGCACCACAACGGGUGGAGCCUGCGGUUUAAUUGGACUCAACGCCGGGAAGCUCACCGGAUAAGACAGCGGAAUGAUUGCCGGGCUGAAGACUCUGCAUGACUAGCUG
Molecule: ribosomal RNA, 252 nt
Filed under: uncultured archaeon
Lineage: Archaea
Description: partial 16S ribosomal RNA
Rfam family: Archaeal small subunit ribosomal RNA
Source: RNAcentral